GACGAACGCUGGCGGCGUGCUUAACACAUGCAAGUCGAACGGAAAGGCCCAGCUUGCUGGGUGCUCGAGUGGCGAACGGGUGAGUAACACGUGGGUGAUCUGCCCCUAACUUCGGGAUAAGCUUGGGAAACUGGGUCUAAUACCGGAUAGGACAAUCGUUUAGUGUCGGUUGUGGAAAGUUUUUUCGGCUAGGGAUGAGCCCGCGGCCUAUCAGCUUGUUGGUGGGGUAAUGGCCUACCAAGGCGUCGACGGGUAGCCGGCCUGAGAGGGUGGACGGCCACAUUGGGACUGAGAUACGGCCCAGACUCCUACGGGAGGCAGCAGUGGGGAAUAUUGCACAAUGGGCGCAAGCCUGAUGCAGCGACGCCGCGUGGGGGAUGACGGCCUUCGGGUUGUAAACCUCUUUCGACAGGGACGAAGCUUUGGUGACGGUACCUGUAUAAGAAGCACCGGCUAACUACGUG
Molecule: ribosomal RNA, 464 nt
Filed under: uncultured bacterium
Lineage: Bacteria
Description: partial 16S ribosomal RNA
Rfam family: Bacterial small subunit ribosomal RNA
Source: RNAcentral